UUGCAAUGCCUCUCCGAGUUGGCUGAGCUGGUCCCAAAGGCCUGCGAUCCUGUUUUGGAGAGAAACACACGUGAGUCACUGGGGCUGACAUUCUCUGAGAUCUGACAGAGUUUCUACUUUGGGAACCUACUAGCCGUGACUCAGCAGCGAUUCACCCGGGAGCAGGCCGGUGAAGCUGGGGACAGGCCUCCUCGUGGGCCCUGCUGGGGCCACUGGGAGCUGGGUCGGCGCUGGGCUCUGCAUACUGUCUCCUGGUGACCCCGUCAUGGAGCUCAGGCUGGGCCUGAGGGUCAGAGAGAGGAAGCGGUGCUCCCCAUGGUUACACAUCACGCCCCAAUCAAGCCUCACACCGUGGCACCCUCUUGAGGGACUCAGCUUUCCAGGAGGCUCUGCUGAACCAAAGCUUCAUGAUCCUCGCUCGCCCGCCCACUGGGAGAUGCUGCUGGCUUCGGCCUCCCCCUCCUCAGCCUCCCAAAUCCAGCCCCCCAGCCGGCCCCCAGCCCAGCGCGGAGCCAGCCCCCGUCACCGCAGCUGUCCACACUGACAAAGCCUGGCUGUUCGAUAAGGCCGUGCCAGCUGGAACGAGACACUUCCCGUCCGACGGGAGCUUCUGCACGGAGCCUGGGGGCAGCUGUCGGCUGGAGGAGCGUGGAGCCGGAUCUGGGGCCUGCUCGGGGCCUGCACCCUCUCCGGGCCCCCCUCCCCCAGAGGCUCCACAGGGGGCCUGACAUGGGGGGUCUGGAGGAGGGGCUUUUGCUCUCUGGACUCUCUGACCCUGAUGCUUAAAAACCCGCCCCUUUGGGAGGUACAGGGUUCUGUUGCUAGGACAGGGCUGGGGCUGGUGGAAUGUUGGCCCCUCCCUGGGUGACACAGUUUUCCUUGGUCAUCAGGUGCCGGUGACCAGAGCAGAGGCUAAAGGAAGAGGUGAAGGUCGUCUAUGUAACCAGCAGCAACGCAUGGUCACAGCCAGGAUGGACAUCGGUGUUGGCCACCAGGGAGGCAGAGCAGUGUGCUCCGGCCAAGUCUGGCCCUGGGUCCAGCAAGAAGCCACUGCGUCUCUGGAACAGCUCUGCCGAGAUCUCCACGGCAGCUGGACAGCCACUCCCGGCCCCUUUAGCUGGUCACUGGCCACUAGACACUCAUCCCACAAUGAUUUCUUGAGCACCUACUACGUGCCAGGCAUGAGGACACCAACAGACCCAAACCCCUACCCUCGUGGCAACUAUGUUCUCAGAGCACAGCCUCCUCUGACUGGGACCAGCUCUGCUCAGUCACCCAAAUCCCAGGCCCAGAUCCCAGACCCUGGACCAGACCCCAGGCCCAGACCCCAGCCUUCAGGCUCAAACCCAAGACCCAGACCCAGCACAAAUCCCAGACCCAGGUCCAGAUCACAGAAACAGACCCCAGACCCUGAUCCAGGCCCAGACCCCAGGCCCCAGAACCAGAUCCCAGACCCCAGUCCCAGAUCCAGACCCUGAGCCCAGAUCCAGACCCAGACCCCAGGCCCUGGCCCAGACACAGGCCCAGACCCAGGCCAGACCCCGGACCCUGGCCCAGACAUAGGCACAGUCCCAGACCCCGGGCCCAGACCCAGGCCCAGCAGAGCCAGCCGCCUUUUCUGGCUUGAUUCCUUUAUAAGUCUCUAAUUACAUCCUGGGAGAAGCAAUUAGAAUGAAACGGAGGGGUUUUUCUCUCUCUCCCGCAGGCCAGGCCUGUUUAAUAACUUAAUUGAAUACACAGAAUUAUAAUUACAACGUUAA
Myotis lucifugus (little brown bat) is the source of this 1760-nucleotide long non-coding RNA. RefSeq lists it as uncharacterized. The transcript is spliced from 2 exons. The record is from RefSeq and is a predicted model, not a curated record. Lineage: Eukaryota; Metazoa; Chordata; Mammalia; Chiroptera; Vespertilionidae.